GUUCCUGUAGCUCAAUUUGGUAGAGCAUGCGACUGUUAAUCGCAGGGUUGGAGGUCCGAGUCCUCCCGGGAACG
This 74-nucleotide transfer RNA is filed under the name Candidatus Pacearchaeota archaeon. RNAcentral's name for it is "tRNA-Asn". It matches the Rfam family "tRNA". Rfam says of the family: Transfer RNA (tRNA) molecules are approximately 80 nucleotides in length. Their secondary structure includes four short double-helical elements and three loops (D, anti-codon, and T loops). The record is from RNAcentral. Lineage: Archaea; Nanobdellati.